AAUAGCCUAACGGCUGAACCAGCAACUUGGAGGAAUGUAUAGCUACGGCUAAUUGUGUAUAACUACACGAUAUCGACUCUGUCGAAUAAAAUUCUGGGUAAAUUAUGAUGAUGACAUUUUUUACCUAUGUGUCUUGACCAAAUUGUGUGCCAGCAGUCGCGGUAAUACAUAGAAGACUAGUGUUAUUCAUCUUUAAUAGGUUUAAAGGGUACCUAGACGGUAGAUCAAGCCCUAGACGGGACUAAUUUGCUAGAGUUACUUAUGAGGGGGCUUUAAAGUACUAAUGGUGUAGAGAUAAAAUUUUGUAAUACCAUUUUUCGUAAAGAAAAAUUAUGGCACUGGUAAAGGCGAAAGCAUCCCCCUAUGUGAUAA
This 372-nucleotide ribosomal RNA is filed under the name Ramalina almquistii. RNAcentral's name for it is "SSU rRNA". It matches the Rfam family "Bacterial small subunit ribosomal RNA", at positions 370 to 739 of the family's 1533-position model. RNAcentral also lists the same sequence under 1 other name. Lineage: Eukaryota; Fungi; Ascomycota; Lecanoromycetes; Lecanorales; Ramalinaceae. The record is from RNAcentral.